Molecule: ribosomal RNA, 156 nt
Filed under: Triticum aestivum (bread wheat)
Lineage: Eukaryota; Viridiplantae; Streptophyta; Magnoliopsida; Poales; Poaceae
Description: partial small subunit ribosomal RNA
Source: RNAcentral
GUAGCCCACAUAUCAGAUAUUAAACUGAUAAGAACAUAUACUACACUUGAUCUUAGCCAAAAGGCCGAGAAAGGUAUGCUUUGAAACGUUGCCCUGAGUCUCCUUUUAUUGCUUCCUCGACCGGCUAUGACACUUGUACAGGCGAGGUGGGACUAA